RNAcentral lists this transfer RNA (77 nucleotides) under Wolbachia sp. wRi. RNAcentral's name for it is "tRNA-Asp". It matches the Rfam family "tRNA". From Rfam's summary of the family: Transfer RNA (tRNA) molecules are approximately 80 nucleotides in length. RNAcentral also lists the same sequence under 2 other names. The record is from RNAcentral. Lineage: Bacteria; Pseudomonadati; Pseudomonadota; Alphaproteobacteria; Rickettsiales; Anaplasmataceae.
GGGGGUGUAGCUCAGUUGGUUAGAGCGCAUGCCUGUCACGCAUGAGGUCGUGAGUUCAAGUCUCAUCACUCCCGUCA